This 456-nucleotide ribosomal RNA is filed under the name Streptococcus mitis. Its description in RNAcentral is "bacterial SSU rRNA". It matches the Rfam family "Bacterial small subunit ribosomal RNA", at positions 28 to 470 of the family's 1533-position model. Lineage: Bacteria; Bacillati; Bacillota; Bacilli; Lactobacillales; Streptococcaceae. The record is from RNAcentral.
GACGAACGCUGGCGGCGUGCCUAAUACAUGCAAGUAGAACGCUGAAGGAGGAGCUUGCUUCUCUGGAUGAGUUGCGAACGGGUGAGUAACGCGUAGGUAACCUGCCUGGUAGCGGGGGAUAACUAUUGGAAACGAUAGCUAAUACCGCAUAAGAGUAGAUGUUGCAUGACAUUUGCUUAAAAGGUGCAAUUGCAUCACUACCAGAUGGACCUGCGUUGUAUUAGCUAGUUGGUGAGGUAACGGCUCACCAAGGCAACGAUACAUAGCCGACCUGAGAGGGUGAUCGGCCACACUGGGACUGAGACACGGCCCAGACUCCUACGGGAGGCAGCAGUAGGGAAUCUUCGGCAAUGGACGGAAGUCUGACCGAGCAACGCCGCGUGAGUGAAGAAGGUUUUCGGAUCGUAAAGCUCUGUUGUAAGAGAAGAACGAGUGUGAGAGUGGAAAGUUCACGCU